Molecule: long non-coding RNA, 1808 nt
Organism: Esox lucius (northern pike)
Lineage: Eukaryota; Metazoa; Chordata; Actinopteri; Esociformes; Esocidae
Source: Ensembl
CUGUUGGCAAGAGGAAGUUUCCUUGGCUCUGUUGGCAUAUAAUAUUCAAUUUUAUAAUUUUGAUAAUAUCCCUACAUUGUGACAUAAUUGCAUUAGAACUCCAAUAUUAUUCAAUCACUUCAUAAUUUGUUCUCAGUCUACUUUUUAAAUUGGGAGCCUUUUUUUCUGCAUGUACUUCCAAGUAAAUUGCUUUUUUAAAUUGUUUUACUAUAUCCAAAAAAAAGUGUUUACAGCUUUUGUAAAUUGGUUGACCAAAACUGAAAGUAAAAAACUAGUGCAAGUGUGCGAGAAGGGAAAAGUUGGUUUGUUAGAAAAUUGUUGUUGCAGUAACAGUCCUGUGACGUCCCUGGCAUUUAUCAGCCCUAUUUACGGAGUUGCAUUCUAGACACUCAUUUAUAUAGGUAUGUUUCACCCACUAACACUGUUGCCAGGCUAGAGCAUCCUAGUUUCUUUGCAAAAAUUAACAAACCAUCUGAUUGGUCCCAGAAACCAGUGGGUGGGGCCAGAGCAUGGUUAAAGGGAUAGUUUGUCCAAAAUUCAAAUUUUUCUGAAAUUUCACUUACCAGGCCAAUUUAAGUCAUUUUUUCAAACAAUCCAUUAUUCAGCUCUGUCCCAGGCUGUAAUUAGCAUCGUCCAAAUUCAUGAUUGGAAAUGGUUCGUACCUUUACCGCAAAGCUGCAUUGCAAGCAGAAAAACACUUGAAACUACAUUCAGUAAUCUGUCGCAGUAGCAUACAUUUUUUUAAACUGUACACUGACAAAACAGCCGGCGGAACUGGCUGAUUUCAAACUGGCACUAGCAACUAUUUCCCAUAGCCACCAUACACAGCUUCUGUUCUUCGGCAGUGAUAUCAGAGUUGAGCGUGAUCUUAACCCAACUAGCUAUGUGAAGAUAUGCUUCGCCUAGCUUUUUAAAAUUGCUGAUAGUUUCCACUAUAUUUUUGCUGUAUAUAUUUCGUAAUUCUUACUAUGUAGAUGUUGUGUGCCAUGUCUCAAAAAUGUCACUGUGCCAUGUCUCAAAAAUGUCACUGUGCAGGACAACGCUGUGUUAUUCAGUGCGUUUGCUACAUAAAAGUAGAACUUUUGGUUCACUUAGAAGAGGACUAAAGGCGAAUGCAAUUCCAUCAAGUUACCCUGUUCAACCCGUGGAGACAAGAAAGAUUGUAAGUAAUACUUCUGAUUGCCAUGUUAUAAUACACAAAUAUAUAUUGCCUCUGGAUAUUCUGUGCAAGUGUUGGGGAUUACAUGUUCACCAUCGCCAAGGUGAUUGUCCGAGGUGAAUUUCAAAGACAAAAUAGGUAACUUGCUUUCUAGCCAGUGAAUACAAAAUUGUGUUCACUGUGUAUACAUCUAACUCUUUCCGAACGAAUGCGUGGACUGAUACAAUUGUGAACUAAACUGACCGGAAGAACCCGUUUAUUUGAAAUAUCUUUAUUUAGAAAAUUAAAACUUUCUUUAGAGGAAUACAACAUCGUCAUGUCCUUUGAGUUAAAUUACAUCACUUGUUUUUGUUUUGGGGUGUUUUAGAGUUGUUUUCCGUUUGCAAUGCAGCUUUGCAAUAAAGGUACGUACAGUUUUUUAAAUAUUUUUUAUUACUCUAUAUGCCUGAAGGACCAACUGGGAGGAAGGGGACUGUCACCGAAAUAGGAUUUUUGGAUGAACUAUCCCUUUAAAGCAACCUUUUUCAAAAUGUGAAACUCCUCAUUUUGAAAACACUAACGUAGCAGAAAAUUUCAGUUAGAUCCAUCAUUUGACAAACCUUGUCCCAUGUUGUACCAUUAUUAGCCAUUAACCUUGAGCAACCCGCUG